RNAcentral lists this ribosomal RNA (524 nucleotides) under uncultured bacterium. RNAcentral describes it as "partial 16S ribosomal RNA". It matches the Rfam family "Bacterial small subunit ribosomal RNA", at positions 28 to 523 of the family's 1533-position model. The record is from RNAcentral.
GACGAACGCUGGCGGCGUGCCUAAUACAUGCAAGUCGAACGAAGCUUUUUUAACUGGUGCUUGCACCGACUUAAACAACUGAGUGGCGAACGGGUGAGUAACACGUGGGUAACCUGCCCCAAAGCGGGGGAUAACAUUUGGAAACAGAUGCUAAUACCGCAUAACCACAGAAACCACAUGGUUUCUGUGUCAAAGAUGGUUUCGGCUAUCACUUUGGGAUGGACCCGCGGCGUCUUAGCUAGUUGGUAAGGUAAUGGCUUACCAAGGCAAUGAUACGUAGCCGAACUGAGAGGUUGAUCGGCCACAUUGGGACUGAGACACGGCCCAAACUCCUACGGGAGGCAGCAGUAGGGAAUCUUCCACAAUGGACGAAAGUCUGAUGGAGCAACGCCGCGUGAGUGAAGAAGGUUUUCGGAUCGUAAAACUCUGUUGUCAGAGAAGAACGUGUGCGAGUGUAACUGUUCGUGCAGUGACGGUAUCUGGCCAGAAAGCCACGGCUAACUACGUGCCAGCAGCCGCGGUAA